Long non-coding RNA from Erinaceus europaeus (western European hedgehog), 786 nucleotides. RefSeq lists it as uncharacterized. The record is from RefSeq and is a predicted model, not a curated record. Lineage: Eukaryota; Metazoa; Chordata; Mammalia; Eulipotyphla; Erinaceidae. The transcript is spliced from 3 exons.
CUUUAGACCAAUUUGGAAUGGCGGUGCUUCAUGAAUAACCCAUGAGUAUUAACCAGCUGCAUGCACAGAGAAAUUGAGAGGGGAAGGGGAGGGGGGAGAGAGAAGGAGAGACACCUGCAGCCCUGCUCUACCACUCAUGAAGCUUUCUCCCUGCAGUAGCACCAGGCAACAAUGGACCUUUGUUCUGUUCCAAAAUGAAGAAUGAAUUAAGCAAGGGAAAGAAGAGCAAGGAGCAAGUCCAGGUUCUUACGUAUUCUUUCAUGUUUCCAUACGGGGACGUUGGAUCAGACUAUGUGAGUCAAACAAAGGGAUCAAACAAGGGUAAGAGGGAAAGGAGUAGAGGGUUUGGCUCACUCUUAGUGGGAUAAACCACCUCUGUGACUGAGAGCUGGAGAGCCCCUGGGAAGUUAAGGGUCAGCACCACAUGAGGUGGCCUCAGCCUAGGUUCUCAAAAAAAAUUUUUUUUUAAACUUUACCAUAAACUGGCAACCUCAGAUUGUAUUAGGUUAGAUUUCUUGUUCAAGUGUAAGUGAAGAUUUAUUUAUUUUUAUAUUAUUUUAUUUUUUGCCAACUGGGCUAUUGUUGGGGCUCCAUACAAUUACUAUGAAUUCAUGGCUCCUGACAGCCAUUUUCUAUUUUUUUUCUUGAAUCUUCACUUUUAUUUGGUGGGACAAAGAGAAAUUGAGAGGGAAGGGAGGAUGGAGCGGGAGAGAAAUAUAGACACCUGCAGACUUGCAUCACUGCUCAGGAAGCAUUCCCCCUGCAGGUGGGGGACAGGGGCUUGAA